This 443-nucleotide ribosomal RNA is filed under the name uncultured bacterium. RNAcentral's name for it is "partial 16S ribosomal RNA". It matches the Rfam family "Bacterial small subunit ribosomal RNA", at positions 338 to 795 of the family's 1533-position model. The record is from RNAcentral.
CCUACGGGAGGCAGCAGCGGGGAAUAUUGGGCAAUGGGCGCAAGCCUGACCCAGCAACGCCGCGUGAAGGAAGAAGGCUUUCGGGUUGUAAACUUCUUUUCUCAGGGACGAAGCAAGUGACGGUACAUGAGGAAUAAGCCACGGCUAACUACGUGCCAGCAGCCGCGGUAAUACGGAGGUGGCAAGCGUUAUCCGGAUUUACUGGGUGUAAAGGGCGUGUAGGCGGGACUGGAAGUCAGAUGUGAAAACCACGGGCUCAACCUGUGCACUGCAUGUGAAACUGUAGUUCUUGAGUACUGGAGAGGCAGACGGAAUUCCUGGUGGAGCGGUGAAAUGCGUAGAUAUGAGGAGGAACACGAGUGGCGAAGGCGGUCUGCUGGACAGCAACUGACGCUGAGGCGCGAAAGCGUGGGGAGCAAACAGGAUUAGAUACCCGAGUAGUC